RNAcentral lists this ribosomal RNA (301 nucleotides) under uncultured bacterium. RNAcentral's name for it is "partial 16S ribosomal RNA". It matches the Rfam family "Bacterial small subunit ribosomal RNA", at positions 509 to 807 of the family's 1533-position model. The record is from RNAcentral.
CAGCCGCCGCGGUAAAACGGAGGGUGCAAGCGUUAAUCGGAAUUACUGGGCGUAAAGCGCACGCAGGCGGUCUGUCAAGUCAGAUGUGAAAUCCCCGGGCUUAACCUGGGAACUGCAUUUGAAACUGGCAGGCUAGAGUCUUGUAGAGGGGGGUAGAAUUCCAGGUGUAGCGGUGAAAUGCGUAGAGAUCUGGAGGAAUACCGGUGGCGAAGGCGGCCCCCUGGACAAAGACUGACGCUCAGGUGCGAAAGCGUGGGGAGCAAACAGGAUUAGAUACCCCUGUAGUCCCUGUCUCUUAUAC